RNAcentral lists this ribosomal RNA (253 nucleotides) under uncultured prokaryote. Its description in RNAcentral is "partial 16S ribosomal RNA". It matches the Rfam family "Bacterial small subunit ribosomal RNA", at positions 524 to 776 of the family's 1533-position model. The record is from RNAcentral.
UACGUAGGUGGCAAGCGUUGUCCGGAUUUACUGGGCGUAAAGAGCGCGCAGGCGGUCGAUUAAGUCGAAUGUGAAAGCCCCCGGCUCAACUGGGGAGGGUCAUUCGAUACUGAUCGACUUGAAGGCAGGAGAGAGAAGUGGAAUUCCCGGUGUAGUGGUGAAAUGCGUAGAUAUCUGGAGGAACACCGGUGGCGAAGGCGGCAUUCUGGACUACAACUGACACUGAGGAACGAAAGCCUGGGGAGCAAACGGG